This 5652-nucleotide long non-coding RNA is filed under the name Mus musculus (house mouse). Its description in RNAcentral is "predicted gene, 29895". The record is from RNAcentral. Lineage: Eukaryota; Metazoa; Chordata; Mammalia; Rodentia; Muridae.
GCUGAUGCUCAAAUGUAUGCCUCCUGAUUUCUUUUCUAGGAUUUCUAUCUCCAGAGUUGUCUUCCUUUGGGUUUUCUUUAUAGUUUCUACUUCCAUUUUUUUGAUCUUAGAUGGUUUUGUUCAAUUCCAUCACCUGUUUGGUUGUGUUUUCCUGAAAUUCUUUAAGGGAUUUUUGUGUUUCCUCUUCAAGGACUUUUACCUGUUUAGCAGUGUUUUCCUGUAAUUCUUUGAAGGACUUUUGUGCUUCCUCUUUAAGGGCUUCUACAUGUUUAGCAGUGUUCUCCUAUAUUUCUUUAAGUGAGUUAUUAAUGCCCUUCUUAAAAUCCUGUACCAGCAUCAUGAGAUACGGUUUUAAAUCUGAAUCUUGCUUUCCUGGUGUGUUGGGGUAUCCAGGACUAGCUGUGGUGGGCGUACUCUGUUCUGAUGAUGGUGAGUGGUCUUUGUUUCUGUUAGUAAGAUCUUUAUGUUUGCCUUUUGCCAUCUGGUAAUCUCUAGCUGUCUCUGGCUGGAGCUUGUUCCUCCUGUGAUUCUGUUUGCCUCUGUCAGCACUCCUGGGAGUCCAACUCUUUUCUGAGUCCCAGUGGUCAGAGCACUCUCUGCAGGCAAGCUCUCCUCUUGCAGGGAAUGUGCACAGUGUUUUGGGGUUCUGAUCCACCUCCUGGCUGAAAAUGAAGGCCUGAAGGGACCCUGUCCAAGAAACUCUGUUGCUUCUGUGGCCCACAUGCUUUCCUGCGAGGACUGGUCUCUGAGAGACCCGGGAUACAAGAUGGUGCUCUUACUUGUGUCUCAGGGUUAGAGAUCUCUCUGGAGGCCGACUGUCCUCUGGUGGGUGAGAUGCCCAGAGGUCUGGGUCUCAGCUCUGCCUCCUGGCUGAGGAUGAAGGCCAGAAGGAACCUGUCCAAGAAGCUCUGUUGCUUCUGUGGCCUGCAUGCUCUCGUGUGCAGACUGGUCUCUGAGAGACCCGGGAUACAAGAUGGCACUCUCACCUGAGUCCUGGGGUCAAAGCCCUCUCUGGAGGCCGAUUCUCUUCAGUGAUCCUAAGAUCCUGGGUGUGCUAGGGUGCCUUCGGUAUGGAGAGUCCUCUGGGGACCGUGGGACUGUCUGCCAAGUUCAUGUCCAAGGUGAUGCGGGGCUGACUCCGAUCAGAAUGAGCCCCAGCUGCUGGUCAGGCAGGUUUUCUGUGUCCCUGUUCCUGCUGGCACAGGCACCUCCCAGUAGUUUUGGAACAGAUGAUGUGCUUCACUCACCAGUGAUCCCAAGAUCCUGGGUGUGCUAGUGCACCUGCGGCUGGAGGAUCCUCUCCUGAGAUUUAUUAGUUGGUAAUAUUUCUGUGAUAUUUUGUGGUCAGUUACAUUGUAGUCAAUUUCUUUAAGCUCCCUCCUGUUUGCAUGCUAGAACUGCUAUUUCAGGGUGGAAGGAAGAGGCAAUGUCCUUGACCAGUCACAGUGGCUAAGACUUUUCUGGUGAGGAGGUGCAGGAAGGUCCAGGAAACAAGGACUGGCCCUUAAAUACAGGGUUCUCCUUGCUUACAGGGUUGUCACACACAUCCCCUGACCCCUGCCUCCAGGAGAUUGCAAUUGUCACAAAAUGACAACAGGCAGGAACCAUCAGAGAUUAGAUGAAGUCCAGAGUGUCAGAAGCCUGUUAACUAUCCAAAGCAUUACCCUCUUGUCUUAGUCAAUGUUUCCUGCUUUGAAAAGACACCAUGACCCCAGCCACUUUUAUAAAAGAAAGCUUACAGGUUCAGAAGUUUAGUCCAUUAUCAGCAUGAUGGGGAGCACGGUGGCACAUAGGGAAACAUGGAGCUAGAGAAGAAGCUGAGAGUUCAAUGUCCAGAUCUGAAGGCAGCAGGAAGAGAGCGACACCGGGCCUGGUUUGGGCUUUUAAAAAAUCUCAAAACUUGCUCUCAAGGACACACGUUCUCCAACAAGACCUAAGUGCUGCUUCCUGACGACUAAGCUCUCAGAUACGUGAGCCUAUUAGGGCCACUCACAUUCAAACCACCAUACACCCCCAACCCACUCCCCUAUUCCUACCUCUGAGGCCUGCCCAGCCUCUUGCUGGGGGCUCUUUGUCUGUUCUGAUAAAGUACGUGUUUCUUCUUCUUCCUGUUUGUGGCUGGUGCUUCUCUGAUCCUAUUCAAUAUACAACUUGUAGUGUGUCAGCUGCUUCCAGAAUCUGUGAUGGUUCCCUCGUGUCUGAGAGCCUCAAGUUAUUUCCUGCAGCUCUCUUAUGGCUGCUGCUUUCUGUUUCUGUAUCGGGUCUACAAAGGUUACUUUCUAUCAGGGACUCUAAGCUGCCUAUAUCACAUCUCUGGCUCAGAUUACUAGGUGUCACAGUUCAUCUGUGGCCCCUUCCUCUCUCCGCUGUCACUUCUCUUUUCUGUCUGAGUGUAUCUUCUUUCCUGGACGUACAAUUUUCUGGCCAUUUCAUGGAAUGAACCUGGUGGUACCUCUAGAUGACCACAUUCAGUCAAUGCCCUGUGACAGAAGGCGAGAUAGAGUCUGGACAAAUAGACACAGACAAUUGAGGGUCUACAGGUGGCUGUGAUCAUUUUAGUUUAUACUAUUUUAAGAACCAGUGGCCCUUGUGAUCAAGACCAAUAGCUUUCAGCAAAUCCAGCCACAUCUUUUCUGCUCCGUGAAUAGAACAGAGGAUGGUGGGGAUUCAUAUGUGAUAGUCUACCACAUAUGAACUGUGGUAGACUUCUAGAUCAUGGGGAAGGCUCGGGGCAAUGAGGACCUAGAUCGUGGGAAUUCCAUGAGAGUGUUGACCUCCACCAUCCGUGCUUGCUUUGGCCAUAUGACUGACCCUUGCAUCAGACAGGGACAGAUCUAUGCUGGAAAAACUGAGCAGCACCAUGUCAGAUAAGAAUGUUCCAUGAACUGCAUGUCUUAAUUUUGCAAUUACAUUUAUAGCCUCAUUACAACACAAGCUGCUCUUUGAGAGCAGAGUGUACUCAUCAGAGGGAGUUGUUCCCUUCCAAGUUCUCUGAGUGAGACUGUGGUAGGAAAACCAUGCUGAGAAGCCAGAGCAGGCCUCUCCCCUCUGCCAGGGUUCCAGGCAUGUUCUUCAGAUGCCGAUUUCGAUUUCCAUUCCUUUUAUGCAGGCAGGGUUCUGGAGACAAAAUGUCUAACUGUGAUUCACUUUUGGAAAUUCUCACCUUUUUAAAUUGCUGAUGUGGAUUAUGAAAGUGAAAGAAUGUUGAUGGUAGCCCAGGGCCAAAGAGUCUUUCAAUUAUUCUUCCCUUCUUCCAGCCCUAGCUGGCUGAGGCACAGAAAAAGUCUGCUGUCAGCUCUCUGGAAAUGUGUGCCCCAAAUGAAUAGAUGGUUCUAAGAUGGAUUCUCUGGGACAAGAUCUUGCUCUGCUCUCUAUAAUGGCCAAAGGCUGGAGUUCAUUUGCAGAGGAAGUGAGUAUCAGAUUUGACUGACAUGCCUUCUCCAUCUCAGCUACAAAGACCCUGGCUAGUGAAGGAUCUAUCCAAAGCCCAUAACUAAGAAGGAACAAGAGAAAAAUUCCUUGGAAAACUGAAGCCUGAAGCUCUGAACUGAAUAUAGCACAUCGCCUAUUAAUUGAAAGGAUAAAAUUAAAUGAAGACGUGACUGCUCCCAACGCAUGGGCCAAGGAGGAGGGUUUUUUGUAGUUAUAAUGGAGAGAAUGCAAGUGACAUCUGGAAGGGUCUGGAUUGAAUCAGGCCAUUAAAGGAUAGAGAUGAGGAGAGGGAAGGAGGAGGGGGAGGGGAGAAAGGAACCAGGAGCCAAGAGGAGGAGAGAGCCAGGAGACCAAGUGAUGAUGGCUGAAGAAAGAGAAGCUGGGGGAAGGGCCAGUCACUGAUGUGGGAGCCACCUGGAGGCUAGGUCCUCACUCACUUUGAUAUGUUAAGUGGGUACCUCAGUUAGUCUUGUCUGGGGUUUCUUUAAGGCUGUACUCCUAUGAGAUAGCACACUUGCAUUACAGGAGUUUCCUCUCUACACUUGUUCUUUCACCUCACCUACUAAGUUCCCAAGAGAAGAGAAAUACAGCAAACUAAAAUACACUUUCUGAGGUAGCGACUGUUGCCAUGAGAGCCUUUCUAUUGUAAUGUUAAUGAACAUUGCAUCCAUUUUUAAAAUAUAGUAUUUUUAUUAAUUCUCUGAGAAUUUUACAGACAUAUAAUGUAUUUUUUAAUCAAGUUCACCAUUCUCCCAGGUCCACCUUUACAUUCCCACAUCCCCUUCCAAAUCCAUGUCUUCUAUUUUGUUUUUUGUUUUAAUAUAACCCAUUGAGACUAAUUUGUGAUACUCACAUUACAUACUUAUGGGUGUGGGGUCAUCUACUGGAUGGUCAUCUAUGAGAUCUGUUGGAUCAUCUACUGCUCAGUUGACCUACAGUGGGACAUCCUCAUAAAGAAAGCUGGUUCCUUCUCCCUCAACAGCCAUUGACUGUCAAUAGCUCCUCAGCCAGGGGUAGGAAUGGGCCUCCCAGCAACUAGUAAACACAGGCAGGUGGGCCUUCCACACUGCCUCAGGUCCCCAGUCAAGGAAAGCCUUGUGGAGAAAACCUUCUCCAAGCAUUGCAGACAAGGUUGUAGUUGGCAGCCAGGGGCCCCAUCCAGGGAAUUCUGGCGGGAAAUAGACUUCUGAACUCUUGUUUGGAAGAGCACACUGAGUUACUCCUUUCAAUUCCUGAGAGGAAUGAGUCUCCCACCUCCUAUAGUGAGUCUCCCUCUCCACCUUGAAAGAGGGAUUAAAAUCAUGAUUUUCUGACUCUUAAGAAAUACUGACCAAGGUCAUUGGCACCUUCCAUUUCAUGUCAUAUUUCUCUUUCAUACUCUUCUCCCUCUUUUCUCCUUUCCCUGUUUUAUGAUUUAUGUGUUUAAAAACUAUGACCUACAAUCUCCCACCAAUGUGAGGCUCUGAGACAAGAGAUAUUAGCACUGGAAUUGAUGGGCAUGGCUCAAUCAAACAGAUGUAAAACUAGAGGGUGGUGCAAAGACAAAGCAGUGGACAUCAUGCUCCUGGAUUUGAGAACUAUCUUGAAAUAGAAACCAUAUAGACAUUAAGGAUCUUAAUUUAAAAAAGCAAGGAAGAAGACUGAUCGCUCAGCUUCUCAGUGCCUUAAGGCAUCGUUUAAAACACCUUAAAUGCAUCUCUGUGCAUCCAAAGCACUGAAGCACAAAGGACUUUCCAAGCUAUUACACUAAACAGUCACUUUUCCCUCUGCUCUGGGAACAUGAAACAACACAGACUUGAGUGGAGCUGAGCUCAGGAUCUCUCAGGGGAGGCCAGUGCCGUGCUGAGGAGAGAUUUGACACCUGUACCACGGUGGCUUAGCAUCAUGCAGCCGGAUGAACACUUGGUGUAGGCGUUUGUUAACCAAUGCAGCUCAUAGGUGGAUGUGACACCAGUGUCUGUAGUCCAAGUACCCAGAGGCUGAGGCAGGUGCUCCAUGGCUAAAUACUGAGUUCCAGGACAGCCUGAGAUAAGAAGCAAAAGCCUGAUUUAAACAAACAAAAUCUCCAUCAAGGCUUCCAGUGGUUUCCAGUGAGAAGACAACGCGGGAUCCUUCCAGGAAAACAGGACGUCAGUUCUCCAGUCUAACAUCCAGCAAGUUGAAACUUGUAUUAAACUAGAUUUCUCUUGCUGACACUACCAAAUUUAUAUUUGUUUAUUU